This 497-nucleotide ribosomal RNA is filed under the name uncultured bacterium. RNAcentral describes it as "partial 16S ribosomal RNA". It matches the Rfam family "Bacterial small subunit ribosomal RNA", at positions 28 to 507 of the family's 1533-position model. The record is from RNAcentral.
GACGAACGCUGGCGGCGUGCCUAAUACAUGCAAGUAGAACGCUGAAGAGAGGAGCUUGCUCUUCUUGGAUGAGUUGCGAACGGGUGAGUAACGCGUAGGUAACCUGCCUUGUAGCGGGGGAUAACUAUUGGAAACGAUAGCUAAUACCGCAUAACAAUAGGUGACACAUGUCAUUUAUUUGAAAGGGGCAAUUGCUCCACUACAAGAUGGACCUGCGUUGUAUUAGCUAGUAGGUGAGGUAACGGCUCACCUAGGCGACGAUACAUAGCCGACCUGAGAGGGUGAUCGGCCACACUGGGACUGAGACACGGCCCAGACUCCUACGGGAGGCAGCAGUAGGGAAGCUUCGGCAAUGGGGGCAACCCUGACCGAGCAACGCCGCGUGAGUGAAGAAGGUUUUCGGAUCGUAAAGCUCUGUUGUAAGUCAAGAACGAGUGUGAGAGUGGAAAGUUCACACUGUGACGGUAGCUUACCAGAAAGGGACGGCUAACUACGUG